GGGAGCUGCGAGGAGGGGGUGGCCGCAGGAGCAGGAGGACGACUCUUUCAGCCUAGCCGACUCAUGGACACGCUGAAGCCAUUUAAAGCCACAGCACCCUGUGCCCCCGGAGGAUGUCUUCCCGGUCUGGGGUGAAGGAGCCAGGGCCACAAAGUGGGAAACGGUUGGGCAGGAAAGGCACUGUGAACGGGAAAGUGACAGAGAUGCGAGCAGCCGUGCCACCGAGGUCCCAUAACGUCUGCAAACAACUGCUCCGUGGUCGGGGAGACCCAGAGGGGACAAGACACCACCCCUGCUCCGGAGGCGCUGAGCUUUGGAGAGCGAACUGGCGGUAGUCUGUUAGAAUAAGCAGGAAGGGACGGGGCGCCUGGGCGGCUCAGGGCAUGGCCUCUCGGGUCACAGGUUGAACCCCGGUGGGGCUCCGUGCUGACAGCGUGGAGCCUGCUUGGGGGUCUUUCCCCGCCUCUCCCUGCUCGAGCUCUCUAAGUCAAAAAUAAAUAAACUAAAAGAAAAGAAAA
Molecule: long non-coding RNA, 518 nt
Organism: Suricata suricatta (meerkat)
Lineage: Eukaryota; Metazoa; Chordata; Mammalia; Carnivora; Herpestidae
Exons: 2
Source: RefSeq, a predicted model, not a curated record